UACGGAGGGGGUUAGCGUUGUUCGGAAUGACUGGGCGUAAAGCGCGCGUAGGCGGAUCAUCAAGUCGGGGGUGAAAUCCCGGGGCUCAACCGCGGAAUGGCCUUCGAGACUGGUGGUCUUGAGUUCGAGAGAGGUGAGUGGAAUUCCGAGUGUAGAGGUGAAAUGCGUAGAUAUUCGGAGGAACACCAGUGGCGAAGGCGGCUCACUGGCUCGACACUGACGUUGAGGCGCGAAAGCGUGGGGAGCAAACAGG
This 253-nucleotide ribosomal RNA is filed under the name uncultured bacterium. RNAcentral's name for it is "partial 16S ribosomal RNA". It matches the Rfam family "Bacterial small subunit ribosomal RNA", at positions 524 to 776 of the family's 1533-position model. The record is from RNAcentral.